UGAGCAAUCUGCCUAGAUGUGGGGGAUAGCCGGCCCAACGGCCGGGUAAUACCGCAUACGCUCCCCUGGUGGCAUCACCGGGUGAGGAAACUUUCGAGGCGUCCAGAGGAGCUCGCGGCCUAUCAGCUAGUUGGUGAGGUAAUGGCCCACCAAGGCUUUGACGGGUAGCUGGUCUGAGAGUAUGGCCAGCCACAUUGGGACUGAGAUACGGCCCAGACUCCGUAGGAGG
Molecule: ribosomal RNA, 229 nt
Filed under: uncultured bacterium
Lineage: Bacteria
Description: partial 16S ribosomal RNA
Rfam family: Bacterial small subunit ribosomal RNA
Source: RNAcentral